UGGAGCUGUGUGCGCUGAAAGGUGCAUGCACAGUUCUUAAGGGGGGAAAGGCCGAAAGGCCCUACCUAUCCAAC
Non-coding RNA from Monoraphidium neglectum, 74 nucleotides. The record is from Rfam. Lineage: Eukaryota; Viridiplantae; Chlorophyta; Chlorophyceae; Sphaeropleales; Selenastraceae.